Molecule: ribosomal RNA, 253 nt
Filed under: uncultured bacterium
Lineage: Bacteria
Description: partial 16S ribosomal RNA
Rfam family: Bacterial small subunit ribosomal RNA
Source: RNAcentral
UACGAGGGGGGCAAGCGUUGUUCGGAAUUAUUGGGCGUAAAGGGUGCGUAGGCGGUUUGGUAAGUCUUAUGUGAAAUCUACAGGCUCAACUUGUAGUCUGCAUGAGAAACUGCCGGGCUUGAGUAUGGGAGAGGUGAGUGGAAUUCCUGGUGUAGCGGUGAAAUGCGUAGAUAUCAGGAGGAACACCUGUGGCGAAAGCGGCUCACUGGACCAUAACUGACGCUGAGGUGCGAAAGCGUGGGGAGCAAACAGG